RNAcentral lists this unclassified non-coding RNA (1068 nucleotides) under Hevea brasiliensis (rubber tree). Lineage: Eukaryota; Viridiplantae; Streptophyta; Magnoliopsida; Malpighiales; Euphorbiaceae. The record is from RNAcentral.
UUUUAUUUUAUUUUAUUUUUCAAGCACUAUGUAAAUGGUUAAUGGCUAAAAAAUAAAAGUUGUUUUCUUUAAUUUAUAAUUAUAAUUAAUUAUUUUAAUUUUAUCACUUAAAUUUUCUAAUAUUACUAUUUUUUUAAAAAAAUUUGAAAGAGAAUUGCUAUACUGGCAUAUAUUUUAUAAUAAAUUACUAAAAAUCAUUUUAGGUUUGUCAUAAUAUACCUUUUUGAUCCUUUUCAACUGCAACUUUUGUGAACAUGAAUAUGAGUCGUGUGGAGUGUGAACGGAAUUGCUUGAGGAAUUGUUCUUGCUCUUGAUAUGCAAAUGUAGAAAUUGCUGGGAAAGAUAGUAGGUGUGUAGCAUGGUAUGGGGAACUAAUAGACACAGCAGAUCAUAUGGAUAACAAAUAUAAUCUGUAUGUUCGUGUUGAUGCAACUGAAUUAGCUGCAAAUGCCACAAAGUCAAGCUUUUUUCUCAGAAAGGGGCUAGACAUUCUAAUACUGUCUGUUGUUUUAGCAUGGCUCGCCGUUAUCUUAUUUGCCUAUUUGUGGAUUAGGAGGAAGAAAAGUGUGACUAAGAACAAAUGGAAAAGAAAACUCUUUGAUCCUACCACUGAUUCAAUCUACUACAAAAAUACUCUGGUGGCAAGUGAGCUUGGUCGGAAUAGCCAUCCUCCUGACAUAGAAUUUUUUGAUCUCAGCACCAUAGUUGCUGCCACUAACAACUUCUCUUCUGCUAACAAACUUGGCCAGGGUGGCUUUGGUUCAGUUUAUAAGGUGAAGUCUCUAUGCAAUAUUUUAACGCUUAUUAGCUUUAUAGGGCCAUAUGUUGUUUGCUAUACCGUGUGAUUGUGAGAUUCUUCAACUGCAUGAACAAACUAAUGGACAUGAUUGUUCACCGAAAAUUGACUCUUGUUGACAUGAUUUCAGGGUCAGCUAUCAAGUGGACAGGAGGUUGCUGUAAAAUGACUAUCCAAAAACUCAGGGCAAGGAAUAGAAGAAGUUAAAAAUGAAGUUAUGUUGAUUGCAAAGCUUCAGCACAGGAAUCUUGUGAAACUUCUAGGUUGCUGCA